Molecule: non-coding RNA, 117 nt
Filed under: Gorilla gorilla gorilla (western lowland gorilla)
Lineage: Eukaryota; Metazoa; Chordata; Mammalia; Primates; Hominidae
Source: Rfam by way of RNAcentral
GCUGGGCGCGGUGGCUCACGCCUGUAAUCCUAGCACUUUAGGAGGCUGAGGCAGGUGGAUCACCUGAGGUCAGGAGUUCACGACCAGCCUGGCCAACAUGGUGAAACCCCGCCUCUA